RNAcentral lists this long non-coding RNA (1503 nucleotides) under Helianthus annuus (common sunflower). RNAcentral describes it as "hypothetical non coding rna". The record is from RNAcentral. Lineage: Eukaryota; Viridiplantae; Streptophyta; Magnoliopsida; Asterales; Asteraceae.
UUUGCCCCAAUUCAUUGUCACUCGCCAAACAGACCAAGGAAUUAUAUGUAUAAUCACCACAAAGAAAUCAACAGCUGAACAGGGGAGAUGCAAACAUCAGUGCAAUUACUAAUUCAAUCAAGAUUGAAAUCAAUUCUUCCCCACGAAACUGAAAUCAAUAACUGAUAUCAUCAAUAAGGCUUGAUGGAUGAAAAUGAUAUCACACCAAAAGCCACCAAAACCCUACGAUUUCAAUCCCAUAAAUCCGAUCAAUUCUCCCUCUCCAGCACUUGGACCCGCCGAUCGAGUAUCUCUUCUAGAAGUGACACCGUUCCUCUAAUAAACAAGAUGCUGUGUUGUGUUAGCAUAAAGAUAUCACGCAGUUUUAAGGGGUGUUUGGAUGCACUAUUAAAUCGGUAACGGUUGUUUGGAGUUGCAAUUAUCAGUCUUGAGUAUGACUAUUGAGAGAAAUGUAGAUUUACCGUUGUUUCGCCGGCCACCGGCGCUGCUGCUCCGCCGCCGGUCUCAAGACAAAACCCGCAUUACCUGCCCUUGAGUGUCUUGUUCAUUCAAAUGAUGAAGAGGUGUUGAGUGAUGCUUGUGGACUAUGGUAUAAAUAACAAUUUUAGCUGUCAUUGAGGAUCAAAAGCCUAACAAUACAAAAGUGACGGGCCGCUACUACUAAAUCUUCAUGGAAUGCACCUGCUACUUUUCUAGAGAUGGUUGGGUCGGGUAAUGGGUAUUUUUUGUGCUGGUCAAGAUGGGGUGAGUUAGGUUUGGGACGACCUGCAAAUGCUUCCUUUUUCUUUUCUUGUUCUUUCUUUUCAUGAUCAUUGUUGGCAAACCAUCUGGCUGAAUUAGUGACAUGAUCCAUGAUAAUAAGAGCUUUUCAUCAAGAAGAACGAUUCUUUGCCAAAAAUUGUGAAGUUGUUAAUAAUAAUGCAAGUCCUUGCACAGUUUUGCUGCAAAUAAUUGGUUGAUCCAACGGCUAGAAGCAAUCAGUGCAACCGUUUUAUCAGCUUCAGAACUCUACAUGGUGUUGCUUCCUCCUGGAACUUUCAGUUCUGGAUAUAGAGAAGGAAAUGAAAAGAAGUGAGAAUCCUGACUCUAUGGAUGCGGAUGAAGAGGAGGUGGCAGAGAUUAAGGCGGCCCACUUUGAGGAUAUGCUUGCAGAAGUGUGAGUGACGUUGACAUAAGGAAAUACCAAGCAUUUGCUUAGACGCUGCAGCAGUCUCGAGGAUUUGGGUUGGAAUUUCGGCUUCCUAAAUCAACAUCUUGGACUGGUGGUGGUGAUGAUUCUGACCCAUUUGCCGCCCAUGCUGGCGAUGCUGAUGAUGAUGACUUGUACAGCUAGAUUUACAUAAAUCAUGUUGUUGAAGUGAAGAUUCAUGAGGAAUUAUACGUUUUAUAUCCUAUACCAGUUGCCAAUUUACUCAUGGUUUUUAAACCUACUUUAUUAAUAUGGCUUAUGCUUUUGUUGUUGGAACUUGUAUUCACGUUUCUUGUUAUGAAUUUGGAUUCAGC